Molecule: ribosomal RNA, 245 nt
Filed under: uncultured bacterium
Lineage: Bacteria
Description: partial 16S ribosomal RNA
Rfam family: Bacterial small subunit ribosomal RNA
Source: RNAcentral
UACGAAGGGUACGAGCGUUAUUCGGAGUUACUGGGCGUAAAGAGCGUGUAGGCGGUUUGUUAAGUUGGUUGUUAAAUUCCCCGGCCUAACUGGGGAAGUGCAACCGAAACUGGCAGGCUAGAGUACAAGAGAGAGAAGUAGAAUUCCCGGAGUAGCGGUAAAAUGCGUAGAUCUCGGGAGGAAUACCGAUGGCGAAGGCAGCUUCUUGGCUUGUAACUGACGCUAAAGCGCGAAAGCGUGGGGAG